RNAcentral lists this ribosomal RNA (485 nucleotides) under uncultured bacterium. RNAcentral describes it as "partial 16S ribosomal RNA". It matches the Rfam family "Bacterial small subunit ribosomal RNA", at positions 30 to 507 of the family's 1533-position model. The record is from RNAcentral.
UUGAACGCUGGCGGCAUGCCUUACCCCUGCCAGUCGCACGGCAGCACGGGUGCUUGCACCUGGUGGCGAGUGGCGAACGGGUGAGUAAUACAUCGGAACAUGUCCUGUAGUGGGGGAUAGCCCGGCGAAAGCCGGAUUAAUACCGCAUACGAUCUACGGAUGAAAGCGGGGGACCUUCGGGCCUCGCGCUAUAGGGUUGGCCGAUAGCUGAUUAGCUAGUUGGUGGGGUAAAGGCCUACCAAGGCGACGAUCAGUAGCUGGUCUGAGAGGACGACCAGCCACACUGGGACUGAGACACGGCCCAGACUCCUACGGGAGGCAGCAGUGGGGAAUUUUGGACAAUGGGCGAAAGCCUGAUCCAGCAAUGCCGCGUGUGUGAAGAAGGCCUUCGGGUUGUAAAGCACUUUUGUCCGGAAAGAAAUCCUUGGCUCUAAUACAGUCGGGGGAUGACGGUACCGGAAGAAUAAGCACCGGCUAACUACGUG